UGAACAGGAAAAAAUCAUCAUUGUAUUGAUGAUGUUGCUGAUUUCUAACUACAUAACUACUAAUUCUAAAAAAUAUCUCAUUUGCUGGAAUUGUCCUCUAUUGAAAAUCAGCUAUGUCUCUACUUAAUUCCUCUCAGAUUGCCUGAAUCAUUCCUCUUUCAUUGUUCUCAUUCUCAGUCAUCUUCUCAUCAACCACAUCACUGAACUUGCAAAUCAGAGUUUGUGGAUUAAUCAUGACUUGGAAGAUACUGUCAUUGAUCAUAUGAUAUUUGAGAGUUGAGGUUUCAGAGUGAUUUGAUGCUAGGCUCAGAGCACCCAUCAGAGUCAGAAGAUUUGAAAAGAAAAGAAGAGAAUUGACAAUAGAGGUGGUAGGGGUGGUGGUGGACUUAUCAUCAUCAGUGUCACUGUCAUCAGAUUCAUCAUCACUCAUUUCAACUUUUGUAAAUUCAGUC
This 452-nucleotide small RNA is filed under the name Histoplasma capsulatum var. duboisii H88. RNAcentral's name for it is "Histoplasma capsulatum H88 hypothetical RNA". Lineage: Eukaryota; Fungi; Ascomycota; Eurotiomycetes; Onygenales; Ajellomycetaceae. The record is from RNAcentral.